This 492-nucleotide ribosomal RNA is filed under the name uncultured bacterium. Its description in RNAcentral is "partial 16S ribosomal RNA". It matches the Rfam family "Bacterial small subunit ribosomal RNA", at positions 29 to 507 of the family's 1533-position model. The record is from RNAcentral.
AGUGAACGCUGGCGGUAGGCCUAACACAUGCAAGUCGAACGGCAGCACAGUAAGAGCUUGCUCUUACGGGUGGCGAGUGGCGGACGGGUGAGGAAUACAUCGGAAUCUACUUUUUCGUGGGGGAUAACGUAGGGAAACUUACGCUAAUACCUCAUACGACUUACGGUUGAAAGCAGGUGAUCUUCGUACCUUGCGCGAUUUAAUGAGUCGUUGUCGGAUUAGCUAGUUGGCGGGGUAAAGGCCCACAAAGGCGACGAUCCGUAGCUGGUCUGAGAGGAUGAUGAGCAAAACUGGAACUGGGAAACGGUCAAAAUUCCUAGGGGAGGCGGAAGAGGGGAAUAUUGGACAAUGAGGGAAAGCUGGAUCAAGAAAUACCGCGUAGGGAAGGAGGGCUUUCGAGUGGUAAAGCCCGUUUGUAGAGAAAGACAAGCGGCAGGGUAAAAACCCGAUGUACUGACGGUACCCAAAGAAUAAGCAACGGCUAACUUCGUG